AAGCGCUUUGAUUGGAUUCUUCGGAUGAAGAUAAUUGUGACUGCGCGGCGGACGGGUGAGUAACGCGUGGGCAACCUGCCUUACACAGGGGGGAUAACAGUUAGAAAUGACUGCUAAUACCGCAUAAGACCGCGGAACCGCAUGGUUCUGAGGUAAAAACUCCGGUGGUGUAAGAUGGGCCCGCGUCUGAUUAGGUAGUUGGUGAGGUAACGGCUCACCAAGCCGACGAUCAGUAGCCGACCUGAGAGGGUGACCGGCCACAUUGGGACUGAGACACGGCCCAGACUCCUACGGGAGGCAGCAGUGGGGAAUAUUGCACAAUGGGGGAAACCCUGAUGCAGCGACGCCGCGUGAGCGAUGAAGUAUUUCGGUAUGUAAAGCUCUAUCAGCAGGGAAGAAAAUGACGGUACCUGACUAAGAAGCCCCGGCUAACUACGUGCCAGCAGCCGCGGUAAUACGUAGGGGGCAAGCGUUAUCCGGAUUUACUGGGUGUAAAGGGAGCGUAGACGGUCCUGCAAGCCAGAUGUGAAAGCCCGGGGCUCAACCCCGGGACUGCAUUUGGAACUGUAAGGCUAGAGUGUCGGAGAGGCAGGCGGAAUUCCUAGUGUA
This 609-nucleotide ribosomal RNA is filed under the name uncultured bacterium. RNAcentral describes it as "bacterial SSU rRNA". It matches the Rfam family "Bacterial small subunit ribosomal RNA", at positions 64 to 677 of the family's 1533-position model. The record is from RNAcentral.